AUACUCUCAUUUCUCUUCAGAUUGUAUAAAUCUUUUGCAUUUUACUAAAGAUUUCUGUGGAGAGGAACAAUUCUGAGCUUAUAUGCAAUUUUUGAGGCUGUGUGUCAAUAAAGC
Molecule: small nuclear RNA, 114 nt
Organism: Choloepus hoffmanni (Hoffmann's two-fingered sloth)
Lineage: Eukaryota; Metazoa; Chordata; Mammalia; Pilosa; Megalonychidae
Gene: U5
Rfam family: U5 spliceosomal RNA
About the family: U5 RNA is a component of both types of known spliceosome.
Source: Ensembl